UACGGAGGAUCCGAGCGUUAUCCGGAUUUAUUGGGUUUAAAGGGUGCGCAGGCGGGAGAUUAAGUCGGCGGUGAAAUUUUGCAGCUCAACUGUAAAAGUGCCUUCGAAACUGGUUUCCUUGAGUGUGGAUGAAGUAGGCGGAAUUUGUGGUGUAGCGGUGAAAUGCAUAGAUAUCACGAGGAACUCCGAUUGCGCAGGCAGCUUACUAAACCACUACUGACGCUCAUGCACGAAGGCGUGGGGAUCAAACAGGAUUAGAUACCCG
This 265-nucleotide ribosomal RNA is filed under the name uncultured prokaryote. Its description in RNAcentral is "partial 16S ribosomal RNA". It matches the Rfam family "Bacterial small subunit ribosomal RNA", at positions 524 to 788 of the family's 1533-position model. The record is from RNAcentral.